GAUGAAGAACGUAGCGAAAUGCGAUAAUUAAUGUGAAUUGCAGAAUUCAGUGAAUCAUCGAAUCUUUGAACGCACAUUGCGCCCGCCAGUAUUCUGGCGGGCAUGCCUGUUCGAGCGUCAUUUCAACCCUCAAGACCCCUUCGGGGGACUUGGUGUUGGGGACCGGCACAGGGGCCUGCCUGCUUGUCUUGCAGCGCCCUCGCCGCCCCCGAAAUGAAUUGGCGGCCUCGUCGCGGCCUCCCCUGCGUAGUAGCACAACCUCGCAACGGGAACGUGACGGCGGCCACUGCCGUAAAACAACCCAAUUUUAUUAGAGUUGACCUCGAAUCAGGUAGGAAUACCCGCUGAACUUAAGCAUAUCAAUAAGCGGAGGA
This 374-nucleotide unclassified non-coding RNA is filed under the name soil metagenome. RNAcentral describes it as "partial contains 5.8S ribosomal RNA, internal transcribed spacer 2, and large subunit ribosomal RNA". The stretch from base 1 to 120 matches the Rfam family "5.8S ribosomal RNA", at positions 35 to 154 of the family's 154-position model. The record is from RNAcentral.